This 206-nucleotide long non-coding RNA is filed under the name Elaeis guineensis (African oil palm). RNAcentral describes it as "long non-coding RNA (EGUI_LNC017574)". Lineage: Eukaryota; Viridiplantae; Streptophyta; Magnoliopsida; Arecales; Arecaceae. The record is from RNAcentral.
AGAGUCUUCAAAGAAUAGAUCAAUAAUCCUCACUUCCAAGGCGUUAUACUAAUUAUACGCCUUUGAAUGUUUCCAGAGGGGAGAUAUUGAUAGAGGUGUAAGCUGAGCUGCCUCAGCCUUUAAGGAUGCAGACAAAAUCUGAGCACCAUCAUGAACCAAAUAAGUACUACUUCUACCAUCGUGACCACGAUCACAACAUCGAAGAU